Molecule: ribosomal RNA, 2935 nt
Filed under: Bacillus sp. ZY-1-1
Lineage: Bacteria; Bacillati; Bacillota; Bacilli; Caryophanales; Bacillaceae
Description: bacterial LSU rRNA
Rfam family: Bacterial large subunit ribosomal RNA
Source: RNAcentral
UUAAGGUUAGAAAGGGCGCACGGUGAUGCCUUGGCACUAGGAGCCGAUGAAGGACGGGACGGGGAACACCGAUAUGCUUCGGGGAGCUGUAAGCAAGCUUUGAUCCGGAGAUUUCCGAAUGGGGAAACCCACCACUCGUAAUGGAGUGGUAUCCAUAUCUGAAUACAUAGGAUAUGAGAAGGCAGACCCGGGGAACUGAAACAUCUAAGUACCCGGAGGAAGAGAAAGCAAAUGCGAUUCCCUGAGUAGCGGCGAGCGAAACGGGACCAGCCCAAACCAAGAGGCUUGCCUCUUGGGGUUGUAGGACACUCUGUACGGAGUUACAAAGGAACGAGGUAGAUGAAGAGGUCUGGAAAGGCCCGCCAUAGGAGGUAACAGCCCUGUAGUCAAAACUUCGUUCUCUCCUGAGUGGAUCCUGAGUACGGCGGAACACGUGAAAUUCCGUCGGAAUCCGGGAGGACCAUCUCCCAAGGCUAAAUACUCCCUAGUGACCGAUAGUGAACCAGUACCGUGAGGGAAAGGUGAAAAGCACCCCGGAAGGGGAGUGAAAGAGAUCCUGAAACCGUGUGCCUACAAGUAGUCAGAGCCCGUUAACGGGUGAUGGCGUGCCUUUUGUAGAAUGAACCGGCGAGUUACGAUCCCGUGCAAGGUUAAGCAGAAGAUGCGGAGCCGCAGCGAAAGCGAGUCUGAAUAGGGCGAAUUGAGUACGUGGUCGUAGACCCGAAACCAGGUGAUCUACCCAUGUCCAGGGUGAAGUUCAGGUAACACUGAAUGGAGGCCCGAACCCACGCACGUUGAAAAGUGCGGGGAUGAGGUGUGGGUAGGGGUGAAAUGCCAAUCGAACCUGGAGAUAGCUGGUUCUCUCCGAAAUAGCUUUAGGGCUAGCCUCAAGGUAAGAGUCUCGGAGGUAGAGCACUGAUUGGACUAGGGGCCCCUACCGGGUUACCGAAUUCAGUCAAACUCCGAAUGCCGAUGACUUAUCCUUGGGAGUCAGACUGCGAGUGAUAAGAUCCGUAGUCGAAAGGGAAACAGCCCAGACCGCCAGCUAAGGUCCCAAAGUAUACGUUAAGUGGAAAAGGAUGUGGAGUUGCUUAGACAACCAGGAUGUUGGCUUAGAAGCAGCCACCAUUUAAAGAGUGCGUAAUAGCUCACUGGUCGAGUGACUCUGCGCCGAAAAUGUACCGGGGCUAAACGUAUCACCGAAGCUGCGGACUGUUCUUCGAACAGUGGUAGGAGAGCGUUCUAAGGGCUGUGAAGCAAGACCGGAAGGACUUGUGGAGCGCUUAGAAGUGAGAAUGCCGGUAUGAGUAGCGAAAGAGGGGUGAGAAUCCCCUCCACCGAAUGCCUAAGGUUUCCUGAGGAAGGCUCGUCCGCUCAGGGUUAGUCGGGACCUAAGCCGAGGCCGAAAGGCGUAGGCGAUGGAUAACAGGUUGAUAUUCCUGUACCACCUCCUCACCAUUUGAGCAAUGGGGGGACGCAGGAGGAUAGGGUAAGCGCGGUAUUGGAUAUCCGCGUCCAAGCAGUUAGGCUGGGGAAAUAGGCAAAUCCGUUUCCCGUGAAGGCUGAGCUGUGAUGGCGAGCGAAUUAUAGUAGCGAAGUUCCUGAUUCCACACUGCCAAGAAAAGCCUCUAGCGAGGUGAGAGGUGCCCGUACCGCAAACCGACACAGGUAGGCGAGGAGAGAAUCCUAAGGUGAUCGAGAGAACUCUCGUUAAGGAACUCGGCAAAAUGACCCCGUAACUUCGGGAGAAGGGGUGCUCUGUUAGGGUGCAAGCCCGAGAGAGCCGCAGUGAAUAGGCCCAGGCGACUGUUUAGCAAAAACACAGGUCUCUGCGAAGCCGUAAGGCGAAGUAUAGGGGCUGACGCCUGCCCGGUGCUGGAAGGUUAAGAGGAGCGCUUAGCGUAAGCGAAGGUGCGAAUUGAAGCCCCAGUAAACGGCGGCCGUAACUAUAACGGUCCUAAGGUAGCGAAAUUCCUUGUCGGGUAAGUUCCGACCCGCACGAAAGGCGCAACGAUCUGGGCACUGUCUCAACGAGAGACUCGGUGAAAUUAUAGUACCUGUGAAGAUGCAGGUUACCCGCGACAGGACGGAAAGACCCCGUGGAGCUUUACUGCAGCCUGAUAUUGAAUGUUGGUACAGCUUGUACAGGAUAGGUAGGAGCCUUGGAAACCGGAGCGCCAGCUUCGGUGGAGGCAUCGGUGGGAUACUACCCUGGCUGUAUUGACCUUCUAACCCGCCGCCCUUAUCGGGCGGGGAGACAGUGUCAGGUGGGCAGUUUGACUGGGGCGGUCGCCUCCUAAAAGGUAACGGAGGCGCCCAAAGGUUCCCUCAGAAUGGUUGGAAAUCAUUCGCAGAGUGUAAAGGCACAAGGGAGCUUGACUGCGAGACCUACAAGUCGAGCAGGGACGAAAGUCGGGCUUAGUGAUCCGGUGGUUCCGCAUGGAAGGGCCAUCGCUCAACGGAUAAAAGCUACCCCGGGGAUAACAGGCUUAUCUCCCCCAAGAGUCCACAUCGACGGGGAGGUUUGGCACCUCGAUGUCGGCUCAUCGCAUCCUGGGGCUGUAGUCGGUCCCAAGGGUUGGGCUGUUCGCCCAUUAAAGCGGUACGCGAGCUGGGUUCAGAACGUCGUGAGACAGUUCGGUCCCUAUCCGUCGCGGGCGCAGGAAAUUUGAGAGGAGCUGUCCUUAGUACGAGAGGACCGGGAUGGACGCACCGCUGGUGUACCAGUUGUUCUGCCAAGGGCAUCGCUGGGUAGCUAUGUGCGGACGGGAUAAGUGCUGAAAGCAUCUAAGCAUGAAGCCCCCCUCAAGAUGAGAUUUCCCAUUCCGCAAGGAAGUAAGAUCCCUGAAAGAUGAUCAGGUUGAUAGGUCUGAGGUGGAAGUGUGGCGACACAUGGAGCUGACAGAUACUAAUCGAUCGAGGACUUAACCAAUUU